AGUGAACGCUGGCGGUAGGCCUAACACAUGCAAGUCGAACGGCAGCACAGUAAGAGCUUGCUCUUACGGGUGGCGAGUGGCGGACGGGUGAGGAAUACAUCGGAAUCUACUUUUUCGUGGGGGAUAACGUAGGGAAACUUACGCUAAUACCGCAUACGACCUACGGGUGAAAGCAGGGGAUCUUCGGACCUUGCGCGAUUGAAUGAGCCGAUGUCGGAUUAGCUAGUUGGCGGGGUAAAGGCCCACCAAGGCGACGAUCCGUAGCUGGUCUGAGAGGAUGAUAAGCCAAAGUGGAAGAGAGACACGGACCAGACCACUGGGGGAGGCAGAAGGGGGAAAUGUGGGACAGGGGGGGGAAGCCUGACCCACCCAUCGCGGGGGGGAGAAGAAGGCCUUGGGGUUGUAAAGCCUUUUUGUGGGAAAAAAAAAGCAGGAGGUUAAUACCCCGGUUUUCGGACGGUACCAAAAAAAAAAGCACCGGCUAAUUUCGUG
This 492-nucleotide ribosomal RNA is filed under the name uncultured bacterium. RNAcentral describes it as "partial 16S ribosomal RNA". It matches the Rfam family "Bacterial small subunit ribosomal RNA", at positions 30 to 507 of the family's 1533-position model. The record is from RNAcentral.